UCACGUCACAGUGGAAGGAGUGGAGGAGGAUGGCAUUUCAUGGCCAUCACAGGGAAGCAUUCAAGUGUUGCAGUUGUUGGGAUUCGUCCAGGUGCCAGACAGAUGACUGCCUCUGUUUUAAACUGACAUGACACGACCCAGGAGGUGCACACAUCGUAUUAACAGACAUGUCAGAGUCAACUUUCUCUUCUUUUCAUCCCAUAAAAUGGAAACAGUGAAGUUGUACAAUCUACUACAUGUCAAAAUUCUGAGUUUGGUGGAUUCCCAAAAGACUCUUCUUAUGUGUUGAAGACAAUCUGGUUUACAUCAUGUCUCCCAGUUACUAAUUUGACUUCUGAUGUGCCACAAUUUUGGAAAUUAGUGUUCCAUAAAGGAGGUAGGUGUUUGGUAGAUGUUUGGUUGGGGUUUGCUGGGCCAACUUUAGUCCUCUCUGAAGUGUUUGGUAGAGGUUCAGUAGGUGUUUGGUAGAGGUUCAGUAGGUGUUUGGUAGAGGUUCAGUAGGUGUUUGGUAGAGGUUCAGUAGGUGUUUGGUAUAGGUUUGGUAGAUGUUUGGUAUAGGUUUGGUAGAUGUUUGGUAAAGGUUUGGUAGGUGUUUGGUAAAGGUUUGGUAGAUGCUUGGUAUAGGUUUGGUAGGGGUUUGGUAAAGGUUUGGUAGAUGCUUGGUAUAGGUUUGGUAGGGGUUUGGUAAAGGUUUGGUAGAUGCUUGGUAUAGGUUUGGUAGGGGUUUGGUAAAGGUUUGGUAGAUGCUUGGUAUAGGUUUGGUAGGGGUUUGGUAAAGGUUUGGUAGAUGCUUGGUAUAGGUUUGGUAGAUGCUUGGUAUAGGUUUGGUAGGGGUUUGGUAGAUGUUUGGUAUAGGUUUUGUAGAUGUUUGGUAUAGGUUUGGUAGGGGUUUGGUAGAUGUUUGGUAUAGGUUUGGUCGAUGUUUGGUAUAGGUUUGGUCGAUGUUUGGUAUAGGUUUGGUAUAGGUUUGGUAGAUGUUUGGUAUAGGUUUGGUCGAUGUAUGGUAGAUGUUUGAUAAGUGUUUGGUAGAGGUUCAGCAGGUGUUUGGUAGGAGUUUGAUGCCCCGAAGCUUCACCGAGGUUCUCCUGUUUGGCCAAUUUGACAUUUUCUGGCUUCAGCGUCUCAGAUAUCACUUCAGUCGAUUCUCUUCGUUUGAUGCCCUCCCUGAAGUAAUACAAAUUGUGAUGUAAAAGACAAGAGCUCUUGAGGUCGUCAGGAAAAAGGAAAACACAGGCAAGAGAUCAACUGAGGUUGAAAUGAAACGUCCCUCACAACCGAUAAAAGCUGCAUGAGGAAAAUUAAAAAAAAAAAAAAAAGGAAAA
This is a long non-coding RNA of Acanthochromis polyacanthus (spiny chromis), 1322 nucleotides long. RefSeq lists it as uncharacterized. The transcript has 4 exons. NCBI's taxonomy places the organism in Eukaryota, Metazoa, Chordata, Actinopteri, Pomacentridae. The record is from RefSeq and is a predicted model, not a curated record.